UUGAUAUUUUAUUUAAUUGAAUCUUUGCAUUACUAUUAUUGUUUAUUUUGUCUUGUAACUAAAGUUAAGUUUGAAAAAUUUUCAGAAUCCGAAAUUAUUUCGUGAAACGGAAAAUCAUAGAGGAGUGACAUUUCGAUGUUUUGCAGUUUUCGGCAAAAUAUUGACAACAUGUCCGUGUUUAUUUUGAUUAUUCAUAAUAUGUACUAUGAAUAGUGUGUAUUUUAACCACGUUUUAGUGGAUCGAGUGUAUCGCUGCCUUUGGAAUAAACAAACAUUAAGUUAGUAACAUGGAGAGAAAAUCGGAUUCGAAAAAGCAGGGUCAAUACUGAGGCGUGGAAUGAGGAAGAAUCGCAGUAACUCAAGCUGAGCGGUCGCUAGGGUCGCUAGGCGCAGGCGCUAAACCGAGCUGAGUACGACGCGUGGGUGGCGCCUACCGGCUGCAACUCAACUAAACAGAACCCGUCGCAUGGGUCAAUACUGAGGCGUGGAAUGAGGAAGAAUCGCAGUAACUCAAGCUGAGCGGUCGGUAGGGUCGCUAGGCGCAGGCGCUAAACCGAGCUGAGUACGACGCGUGGGUGGCGCCUACCGGCCGCAACUCAACUAAACAGAACCCGUCGCAUGGGUCAAUACUGAGGCGUGGAAUGAGGAAGAAUCGCAGUAACUCAAGCUGAGCGGUCGGUAGGGUCGCUAGGGUCAAUACUGAGGCGUGGAAUGAGGAAGAAUCGCAGUAACUCAGCCGAGCGGUCGCUAGGGUCGCUAGAUGCAGUAGAACGAAGAAGUAGCUGGCAACUUGAAUGCAAGUGUGCAUUAGAUGGCGCCACCAUAGCUUUGCCCGGACAAGAGUUUUGCUCUAUGAGAUUUGACUUCUAAUAUUAAAAUACUUGGACCGAUUCAGGGAGAAGAACGCGCUUUAUCAGCACACUCACGCUCCUUUGAAAGCAAAAGCAUAAUAUUAUUGUUAAUGUAUUUUUUUCUAGUAUGUAACUUGUAACGUAAUGUAACGUGUGUUGUCAUGUAACUACUGAAUUUUUGAUUGACAAAUAAGUUAUCAGUUAGUUAGUUGUAUUAGGUAAUUAAUUUAAUUGAAAUUGUGCACACAUGCUCCCGCAAUUUGGCAAUAUCAACAACGUUUAUUAAAGUUUUUCGAAUGCAUAUCGCAAAUGUCAGAAUAUUCUGUUCAUAAAAGUUAUGGAUUGUCAUGCCUUUUUCCAAUGACCCUUAUUUAGGGUAAAGUAACACCAAACAAAGUAUUUGUGAGACAGUUUAACCUUUUGGCCGCCAGAGACUUAAACGGAAAAUCGUGACCACGACGCCACUUUUAUGUUAGCAUAAUUUCUUUACCCAUCCUUAAUUUACCCCCGUGGUGUCAGUGGCACGGUUUUCCGUUGACGUCAUUUGCUGUAUUUGGCGUUCAAAAGGUUAAAAACAUAAAAUUUACCAUAAAUUAAGACCCAUAAAAUUGUAAACAUCUGCGGCGAUUUAUGAUGAUUGUGUUAACUAAACGUAACAUAAGCAUUUGUAAAUGUAAUCAAUUUUAGCAUAUUACUUACCAAAACUCACCUGUGCUAUUCCAUUUCCCUGUUAUCCCCAAUCGUGCUGGUAGCAGCGAAGUGCAAUGCUUUAUACCUUUCCCCAAAAUCUCAGUCCUGCGAGUGCGAGGUGCAAAAUGUAAGUAUUUAUCAAAAAGGGACGGCUGUUUCGCAGGCUAGAUAAUGUUUCCUCCUCUCUUGUACUAGGCCGACUAGUACUCCGAUGCGCCUAUCUCCUCCUUCCUUAUAUCCGUAGCUAGUUAUCAGAAAAAUAAAAAAUAAAUCAUCCGUUUGUUUUUCUUAUGCAACAGGCGUUUAAAGGAGGUCAAAAAAGACAAGUGGCGUGGGUAACAAUUUGAGGCGAAGUAUUUUUUGACUCAGUUAAACACC
Leguminivora glycinivorella is the source of this 1919-nucleotide long non-coding RNA. RefSeq lists it as uncharacterized. The transcript is spliced from 8 exons. The record is from RefSeq and is a predicted model, not a curated record. NCBI's taxonomy places the organism in Eukaryota, Metazoa, Arthropoda, Insecta, Lepidoptera, Tortricidae.